This 31-nucleotide non-coding RNA is filed under the name Mus musculus (house mouse). Lineage: Eukaryota; Metazoa; Chordata; Mammalia; Rodentia; Muridae. The record is from RNAcentral.
UGUGAACUCACUGGUUGAAUCAGCUCGACUC